AACGAACGCUGGCGCAUGCCUAACACAUGCCAGUCGAACGAGACCUUCGGGUCUAGUGGCGCACGGGUGCGUAACGCGUGGGAACCUGCCCUUAGGUUCGGAAUAACUCCCCGAAAGGGGUGCUAAUACCGGAUAAUGUCUUCGGACCAAAGAUUUAUCGCCUUUGGAUGGGCCCGCGUUGGAUUAGCUAAUUGGUAGGGUAAAAGCCUACCAAGGCGACGAUCCAUAGCUGGUCUGAGAGGAUGAUCAGCCACACUGGGACUGAGACACGGCCCAGACUCCUACGGGAGGCAGCAGUGGGGAAUAUUGGACAAGGGGCGAAAGCCUGAUCCAGCAAUGCCGCGUGAGUGAUGAAGGCCUUAGGGUUGUAAAGCUCUUUUACCCGGGAUGAUAAUGACAGUACCGGGAGAAUAAGCUCCGGCUAACUCCGUG
RNAcentral lists this ribosomal RNA (432 nucleotides) under uncultured bacterium. Its description in RNAcentral is "partial 16S ribosomal RNA". It matches the Rfam family "Bacterial small subunit ribosomal RNA", at positions 29 to 507 of the family's 1533-position model. The record is from RNAcentral.